RNAcentral lists this ribosomal RNA (492 nucleotides) under uncultured bacterium. RNAcentral describes it as "partial 16S ribosomal RNA". It matches the Rfam family "Bacterial small subunit ribosomal RNA", at positions 29 to 507 of the family's 1533-position model. The record is from RNAcentral.
AGUGAACGCUGGCGGUAGGCCUAACACAUGCAAGUCGAACGGCAGCACAGUAAGAGCUUGCUCUUACGGGUGGCGAGUGGCGGACGGGUGAGGAAUACAUCGGAAUCUACUUUUUCGUGGGGGGUAACGUAGGGAAACUUACGCUAAUACCGCAUACGACCUACGGGUGAAAGCAGGGGAUCUUCGGACCUUGCGCGAUUGAAUGAGCCGAUGUCGGAUUAGCUAGUUGGCGGGGUAAAGGCCCACCAAGGCGACGAUCCGUAGCUGGUCUGAGAGGAUGAUCAGCCACACUGGAACUGAGACACGGUCCAGACUCCUACGGGAGGCAGCAGUGGGGAAUAUUGGACAAUGGGCGCAAGCCUGAUCCAGCCAUACCGCGUGGGUGAAGAAGGCCUGCGGGUUGUAAAGCCCUUUUGUUGGGAAAGAAAAGCAGCAGGUUAAUACCCCGCUGUUCUGACGGUACCCAAAGAAUAAGCACCGGCUAACUUCGUG